This 403-nucleotide ribosomal RNA is filed under the name Fusobacteriota bacterium. RNAcentral's name for it is "Fusobacteria bacterium partial 16S ribosomal RNA". It matches the Rfam family "Bacterial small subunit ribosomal RNA", at positions 355 to 776 of the family's 1533-position model. Lineage: Bacteria; Fusobacteriati; Fusobacteriota. The record is from RNAcentral.
UGGGGAAUCUUGCACAAUGGGGGAAACCCUGAUGCAGCGACGCCGCGUGAGCGAUGAAGGUUUUCGAAUCGUAAAGCUCUGUCCUAUGGGAAGAUAAUGACGGUACCAUGGGAGGAAGCCCCGGCUAACUACGUGCCAGCAGCCGCGGUAAUACGUAGGGGGCGAGCGUUGUCCGGAAUUACUGGGCGUAAAGGGUUCGCAGGCGGCAUGGCAAGUCCGAUGUAAAAGGCGAAGGCUCAACCUUCGUAAGCAUCGGAAACUGUCAAGCUUGGGUGAAGGAGAGGGAAGUGGAAUUCCUAGUGUAGCGGUGGAAUGCGUAGAUAUUAGGAGGAAUACCGGUUGCGAAGGCGACUUGCUGGACUUCAACUGACGCUGAGGAACGAAAGCGUGGGUAGCAAACAGG